GACGAACGCUGGCGGCGUGCUUAACACAUGCAAGUCGAACGGAAAGGCCCUGCUUUUGUGGGGUGCUCGAGUGGCGAACGGGUGAGUAACACGUGAGUAACCUGCCCUUGACUUUGGGAUAACUUCAGGAAACUGGGGCUAAUACCGGAUAGGAGCUCCUGCUGCAUGGUGGGGGUUGGAAAGUUUCGGCGGUUGGGGAUGGACUCGCGGCUUAUCAGCUUGUUGGUGGGGUAGUGGCUUACCAAGGCUUUGACGGGUAGCCGGCCUGAGAGGGUGACCGGCCACAUUAGGACUGAGAUACGGACCAGUCUCCUACGGGAGGCAGCAGUGGGGAAUAUUGCACAAUGGGCGGAAGCCUGAGGCAGCAACGCCGCGUGCGGGAUGACGGCCUUCGGGUUGUAAACCGCUUUCGCCUGUGACGAAGCGUGAGUGACGGUAAUGGGUAAAGAAGCACCGGCUAACUACGUG
RNAcentral lists this ribosomal RNA (468 nucleotides) under uncultured bacterium. RNAcentral's name for it is "partial 16S ribosomal RNA". It matches the Rfam family "Bacterial small subunit ribosomal RNA", at positions 28 to 507 of the family's 1533-position model. The record is from RNAcentral.